Esox lucius (northern pike) is the source of this 139-nucleotide long non-coding RNA. RefSeq lists it as uncharacterized. The transcript has 3 exons. The record is from RefSeq and is a predicted model, not a curated record. Lineage: Eukaryota; Metazoa; Chordata; Actinopteri; Esociformes; Esocidae.
AGAGGGUCGAGCUGAGGGCACAGCUGGCUCAAUAAUCAGCUUCUGAUAAACGUCUGACUGAAAAGAAUAUCAAGCCAAGGGCACAGCUGCCUCUACAAUCCGGAGCCAUAAGGAAGAAUCUUUCCAACCGGGAUGCCAC